UGUUAGAUGGAGAAAUUGCAUAUGGUGAAAGGAUUAGAAGGAUUCAAUGGCUUGUGUCCAUGUUCAACCAAAAUGGAGAAGUGCGUGAAUGAGUGGAUAUUAAGACUGACAAAGACUUUCACAGGAUGAUGCAUAAAAUGUUCAAAAUUGUUUUGAUGGUUGUAAUCGCUUAGUUAUAGUAAUGGUAUUUUAAUUGUUGUAGUUGUUUGUGUUGUUUUUUAUGUGUUACUUGUGUGUUGAAUGUGAUGGUAUCAUA
Molecule: long non-coding RNA, 256 nt
Filed under: Lathyrus oleraceus (garden pea)
Lineage: Eukaryota; Viridiplantae; Streptophyta; Magnoliopsida; Fabales; Fabaceae
Description: Pisum sativum (pea) long non-coding RNA (PSAT_LNC024611)
Source: RNAcentral